CCCAUAUUUUUAACAACCGGCGUUUUGGCAGGUCGGGUCGGGAUCAAGGUCCAGGUCGAGAUACAGACCUAGAACACCACCCGCGUGAAGAGGGAGGCCCGACGCUGGGGGUCUCUCUCAUCGUCUCCCUUGCUGUUCGAACCUUGGUGUAGAGGAACAGGAGGCGGAAGUAGGAACUGCAGAUGGAGAAGCAGCGGCAGUGAGGGGUGAAGGGCAGCAGCACUAGGCACAUCGAGUAUGUCUUAAGCGAUAAUAGUUGGAGCUUGAGGAGAUUUUAGGUAUUUGAGGAGACACACGAUAGGUAUGGUAACAUUCCAGGCAAAUCCCUGCCUAAGGCCAAAUAUGAAAUGUGGUAUGUUCCCAAGUGUGUGUUUUUCAAGAUUGUUGGAUCCUAGUGUAUUGUUUGAAUGAUGUAUGAUAUAACAUGCUUAUUGCCUUGUGAAUACAUGUGAGAGGUUGAUUGUUGAUGAGAUUGACUGACUAUUUUUGAAAUAUUACGCAAUGGCAUGUCCAUGCUAGGAAUUAUAAUUGCCUAGGGCAGAUUAGGUGGAAUAUCGAGUCGAGUAUAUUUUUGACCCUUAUUUUGCAUUAGUGAGCAUCCUAACAUGAUAUUUGCGUAAGACAACUACGAGUUGAUCAUGGAUUGAGACUACUCUCUGUGGUUCAAAAUGUUGGUUAUGGUUUGACUGUUGUGAGUGUUAAGAGAUUUUCGUUUGUACUGCCAUUUGGUAGUAAUUCAAAUGAAUGAACAUAACAAGUAUUAGUGCUCAUAAAAUAUGAUCUAGCUAGCUAAGAGUAUUUGAUUGAAUGUGUGACCCUCUUAUGGAGGCGAUUUGGGGUUUGAGUGCACGCGUGAAGUGAACCAACCUCGUGCGGUAACCGGUCCUAUUGUGAAUAUGUUCUCAUAAUGAUAAACUAAGAAAGAAUAUUGAUGGGAGUCGAGUGGGUUUUAGCAAUAUGUUUGGUAUAUGUCCCACCCUCACCAUUGGUGGCAUGUCAAGCUCCUGCCUUCCUAACUUGAGUAUCCUAGGGUAGUUGAACAAACUCCUGAGAAUUCACAUAUACAUGGAUGAUUACUCUACCGCUGUAGUGUAAACGGAUCCAUAUUGUUUUGGGCCAUCACAGAUGUUGUCUCCUGAUUGUAGGUCGCCUGUGGUGUAUACACGCCUAUGUUUUGCACCCACAGAAGCUGUCAAUACACUGAAUUAAAUGUAAAUGAAACAAAUAUGAAUGAAGUGGAUGUGUUUAAAUUGAAUAUGACGUGUGGAUUGUGGUUAUUGAGCGGUUUCUACAUAUUCUAGAUUGUGUGAGGAACUCCCAUGACAAGUUAUAUGAUUGCAUGCAUGUAUCAUGAUAUCAUAAUGAUUAUGUUUCUUUUAUGUUAGAUUACAUAUUUGAGGCCUUACCUUAGAUGGUUAGUGAUUUAUGUGGUUUUCUGUCAUACUGCAAAGGCUAAGCUAGGUUUUUAGCAGACCCGGGUAGCAGGUUGAUUAGAUGGCUCCGCUCACAUCAUACUGGAGAGAUUUUGGAUUUAUAGUCAUGCCGGUGCAUCACAUUUUGUCUCAUUGAUGUCUUGUUUUUGUAUAGACAUUGAUGUCUUGUUUUUGUAUAGACAUUGAUGUUUUGGUUUUAGGGACAUUUUUGUCAUGUCAUUGAUAAAUUUGAAGUCAUCUUGUAUGAAAUGAUUGUGUUACAUAAUUGAAUGUUUGCCUCAUUAUCA
Long non-coding RNA from Nymphaea colorata (pocket water lily), 1720 nucleotides. RefSeq lists it as uncharacterized. The record is from RefSeq and is a predicted model, not a curated record. Lineage: Eukaryota; Viridiplantae; Streptophyta; Magnoliopsida; Nymphaeales; Nymphaeaceae. The transcript is spliced from 2 exons.